This 245-nucleotide ribosomal RNA is filed under the name uncultured Thermophagus sp. RNAcentral's name for it is "partial 16S ribosomal RNA". It matches the Rfam family "Bacterial small subunit ribosomal RNA", at positions 524 to 768 of the family's 1533-position model. Lineage: Bacteria; Pseudomonadati; Bacteroidota; Bacteroidia; Marinilabiliales; Marinilabiliaceae. The record is from RNAcentral.
UACGGAGGAUGCGAGCGUUAUCCGGACUUAUUGGGUUUAAAGGGUGCGUAGGCGGAAUGGUAAGUCAGCGGUGAAAUACUACAGCUCAACUGUAGGGAUGCCGAUGAUACUGUCAUUCUUGAGUAUACUUGAGGCAUGCGGAAUGAGUAGUGUAGCGGUGAAAUGCAUAGAUAUUACUCAGAACACCGAUAGCGAAGGCAGCAUGCUAAGGUAAUACUGACGCUGAGGCACGAAAGCGUGGGUAU